This 598-nucleotide ribosomal RNA is filed under the name Paramyrothecium roridum. RNAcentral describes it as "eukaryotic LSU rRNA". The stretch from base 195 to 348 matches the Rfam family "5.8S ribosomal RNA". Lineage: Eukaryota; Fungi; Ascomycota; Sordariomycetes; Hypocreales; Stachybotryaceae. The record is from RNAcentral.
UCCGUAGGUGAACCUGCGGAGGGAUCAUUACCGAGUUUACAAACUCCCAAACCCUUUGUGAACCUUACCUAUCGUUGCUUCGGCGGGAUCGCCCCGGCGCCUUCGGGCCCGGAACCAGGCGCCCGCCGGAGGCCCCAAACUCUUAUGUCUUUAGUGGUUCUCUCCUCUGAGUGACACAUAAACAAAUAAAUAAAAACUUUCAACAACGGAUCUCUUGGUUCUGGCAUCGAUGAAGAACGCAGCGAAAUGCGAUAAGUAAUGUGAAUUGCAGAAUUCAGUGAAUCAUCGAAUCUUUGAACGCACAUUGCGCCCGCCAGUAUUCUGGCGGGCAUGCCUGUUCGAGCGUCAUUUCAACCCUCAGGCCCCCAGUGCCUGGCGUUGGGGAUCGGCGUGGGCGGCGACGGGCUCUCCGGAGUCCCGAGCCAAUGCCUGCCGGCCCCGAAAUUCAGUGGCGGUCUCGCUGUAGUCCCCCUCUGCGUAGUAGCACAACUCGCAUUGGAGCUCGGCGGUGGCCAUGCCGUAAAACACCCCACUUCUGAAAGUUGACCUCGGAUCAGGUAGGAAUACCCGCUGAACUUAAGCAUAUCAAUAAGCGGAG